AAAUUUCACUUUUUCCUUCAUCAUCUGUACCGUCUGAGACAUUUUGGGUGUUUCCAACGAGUCUCUGUCCGAUUGUAGGUCACAGGGGCCAGCAGCGUUGCAUUGGAGUUAUACUUCCCGGAUCAACGUGGGAGCUGUUUGCAGAUGGAGUUUUGAUUCCAUAUUUUCUGGUGUUUAGGUCUACUAUUUUGUUUUGUUUUUCUCUUCUUUUUGGAUUUGAGUUUAACCAACUCUACUGACCAACGCGAAUUGUAUUAGCCGUUGAGAAACUUCACGAAAGGUGGCGUGCAACUAUCGUUUCAAUCUAAAAGAGGAGCCGCCGUGUCCGUUUCACCUGUGUAUUCAAACGGUGAAUCAGAUCGUGAGUUGAAUAGCCCAGUGUUCAAAUCGAAAGCGAAAUUAAUGAAUUCGUGUCAGAGGUUUCGGAAGGAGAUGAUUUUCCGAUGUGGGGACAAGUAGUUGUUACAACUGAACGGACGAUGAACUCAAAUUUUCCCGGUCUAACGGGGAAAAAAAAAACAAGAAUUAAAGGUGACAUCAUUUGAUGUUUUUUUUAAUAUUUUUUGCUGAAUAUGCAAGAGAAAAAAACGCGCAUGACGUCGGCCUCUAUACCAUAAUCGGGUUGUACGAAAAAUUGAAUGUAGGCCAUGUCCGUGCUCGGGUGAAAGGGGGAAGUUGCUUGUGAACACGCAAAAUACGAGUUGAGGUCAUCCAAUUGCUCAUUACCAUACAGGGGGGGGUGUUUGAAGAAUGGCCAAAACUACAAUUGCUCUAUUGACACAAUCCACAUUCAUUUUUCGUAAAUGUUAAUAAUCAGAUUUUCCCCCGAAACGAAUUAGAUCCAAUUCAAUUCAACUUGAUUUUGAACGCGGUCAACAAACACAAAGCUGUGUCUUCCUUUCAAGUAUAACUACAAUAAUAACAAACAAAAAGGAAUGACGGAUCGUGAAAUGAAACUGAAUAAAAGUUCCUACCGCAUUUUCAGCCGGACAAGGAACGAUUUAUCACUUGCGGUAGUCCAUCAUUUCCAUAUCAAACACCGAAAUUAUACAGUCUGGAUAUUAAACAAUCCACACCGGAAAUGGGCGCGAGGAUAUACAAGAAAAGCGGCUACAAUAAAAAAAAAAAAAAAGGGUAACACAAGAAAAGAACAUCUUCAAAUCUAUUAUACUUACAUUUAUUAUUAUUUUUUGCUGCCAAGAAAACAGCUUGCAUCUUACCGUUUUCUGUUUUGAUCUCAUAAUUAUAUACAGAAACAACACAGCCAUGGGUAUAGACACCAACAGAAAAGACGGACGUCUUUUCUGUUGUUGUUGUUGUUUUGUUUACCUCUCGAUGAGGAAAUAAACGGCCGACACAGUCAGUUGAGCUCAUUAUUCAAUUGAGUCAUUACGGUGAGUUCGGUGGAGAGGGGGGGAGGUGACUCAUUGAAUAUUCGUGAUCAGGAGAGGGAAAGAGAUUCAAACAAGACGAAAGAUAAGCAACAAUAUACGAGAGAGGCAAGGAAGUUUGAGAUGAUGGUGCGUCACACAAACAUAACAAAAGUGGCCUGUUCAACAGCAGUUUGACAUACGAUCUAUCUACAUGGAAUAUUAAAUGCUGAUAGACCCUGCCUUGUUGGUGUAACUUUGUUUCAUAUACCUUAUUCCCUAUGCCUAUAACCAUUAGUUUUCUUUCUUAUUUCUUCAAGAAAACUAGACGUCAAAAUUGAAUUCUGUGCUUACACGUUUUGCAGUUGCGUCAACAAAAAAUCAGAGGGAAAACGGUCGAAACAAAAGAUGUUAAUCGCUUGUGUAUUGUUACGGGGGCAACCCCUGCUCCUUUUUCUCCCUGUUGAUUGGAUGAUAACAAGACGUGAGCUUUUCGUUGUUGUACUCUCCCACUCACUCUCCCCCCCCCCAAUUUCUUAGCUGUAAAGUCGUAAUGUCCAUAAGAGUCCCUCUUUUUCGACUGCUUCUCCGGAUGGGAGGCUUAUAUAUAGGAAAAGAAAGAGAAAAAAAAAGGAGAUCCAUCAUCCACGUCCAGCGCGGUGGGGGUGUGUUUUCUUUUUCUAUUUCUUCUCUUUUAUUUUUUAUUUUUUUCUUGUUCUUUUUCUAUUCUCAACUGUAUGUGCAAUAGAAACCAUCAAGAAUGGGAACAUCAUUGCCGUUGUAGACACUGAUACUGUACACAUUCUCUUAUAUUGAUGAUAUAUACAUAUUCCCAGGUC
This is a long non-coding RNA of Daphnia magna, 2209 nucleotides long. RefSeq lists it as uncharacterized. Lineage: Eukaryota; Metazoa; Arthropoda; Branchiopoda; Diplostraca; Daphniidae. The transcript has 4 exons. The record is from RefSeq and is a predicted model, not a curated record.